This 200-nucleotide long non-coding RNA is filed under the name Lathyrus oleraceus (garden pea). Its description in RNAcentral is "Pisum sativum (pea) long non-coding RNA (PSAT_LNC030335)". The record is from RNAcentral. Lineage: Eukaryota; Viridiplantae; Streptophyta; Magnoliopsida; Fabales; Fabaceae.
AAAGACCGGAGCCCUAGCUCCGGUGGUGUGUUGUCAUACCUCUCAGCCACAAGAUCCAUCUAAUUUGUUUUAAUCUCAGGCGUCCAUUAUGAUUACCAAGCCUGCAGCGCAUUGACUAAGGACCAUUGUGGAACGCGCGCGCUUGGCCAUUAGAUCUGCUACCUUAAUUAUUGAGGGAGAUCUGAUGACCCUUGUUUUUU